CCUGGGAUCAGCUCUGCCCACAGCUUCCAUUCUAGGUCACACGGAGGCUGCCACAGGGCCGUUUGAUGGCCAGAGGGUCCUGUCACCACCAUCCCACCGUCCCACCAUCCCCGUCAGGAAGCAAAGCACUUCCGUCCACUCCAGCUGGCCAGUGUUCCGGGCCACGAGCUGACACACGACAGCACCAUCCAGCAAAACCACAGGAAGACGAGAAAUUCAGACUGUCGCUCAGCCCACAGAAGACGCUCCGCUGGACCCAGAGGUCCCACAGACACCUACACCUGGCGCAGGAGCAGAGGGAACAUGGCAAACAAAGAAAGUCUUCCAGCACGUGUCCUGGGUAGAUAUCGGAGAGGGCCGCCUGAGACCACAGUCCUGGUCACCAGCUUCCCCAACCCAGGGCCAAGAGUCUAUGUGGAGCCAGAGGGAGAUUCUCCAAAGAAUAUGGGUGACAAUCUGGGAAGGGCCGAGCACGGCAGUGGGAGGCCAUGCCAUGCAUGUCACAUGGGCGUGUGCACAGGGAAGUUUUUAAAGGCAAAAAAAUGAGGAAGAUCACAUAAGAUAUUUUGAAACACCAAUCUUUGUCCACAGGGAUUGAAAACAAGGGCAGUGCUAGCCCAUGGUUGAACACACCCUUGCUGGGCACCUGUCCCCACAGACUGUGGGAUGGAACUGCUGUGGCCUUUGUGCACAGUUGAGGUUCGAGCAGAGGCUUUGUGAUGGUUACUGUCACCAGGCAAUUUUGCCUCGAGAACCCUCUCUUCCUAACGGAUGGGUAUUUAUGUUUGGUUAGGGUUGACACCAGAGACUUGGUUUCAAUUCUGACGACAGAGAACAGAAGGUAGAGUAUCUCAGAAAGAUUCUCCCACAAGACCUGAAGCUACCGAGGCUCAUCCACUCAGAGAACCUGAAACCCAGGAAACGCCAGAGCUUCUCCUUGGCCCUGUACCGGGGAGACCUUGCUGAGUCUCUGGCAAGGGGCAGAGCCACAUCCCUCAUCUCUCCUCAACUCCAGCUGCUUUUGAGCAAAGCUCAAAGUCCAGUUAGUCCAGGGUCCUCAGUUGCUCUGGGUGCCACAAAGACCCUGAUGUUACUGCAUCGGCACCAGCAGUGUGGAUUGUGCCAGGGGAUCUGGGGGACUGUGCCUGGGCAGAAGCACCUUCACCUUCCAUGGUGAGGUGGUGGUGGGGGGGGGCUGAGGGUUCUUCUGAAUCCACACCCUUGGCCCGUUUAGACCCCAUCUGGUCAUUUCCUACUAAGAUGGCCACAGCACUGGACAACCUUUCCCUUUUAAUCAAACUAAAC
This 1305-nucleotide long non-coding RNA is filed under the name Marmota monax (woodchuck). Lineage: Eukaryota; Metazoa; Chordata; Mammalia; Rodentia; Sciuridae. The record is from RNAcentral.